Molecule: transfer RNA, 72 nt
Filed under: Loxodonta africana (African savanna elephant)
Lineage: Eukaryota; Metazoa; Chordata; Mammalia; Proboscidea; Elephantidae
Rfam family: tRNA
About the family: Transfer RNA (tRNA) molecules are approximately 80 nucleotides in length. Their secondary structure includes four short double-helical elements and three loops (D, anti-codon, and T loops). Further hydrogen bonds mediate the characteristic L-shaped molecular structure. tRNAs have two regions of fundamental functional importance: the anti-codon, which is responsible for specific mRNA codon recognition, and the 3' end, to which the tRNAs corresponding amino acid is attached (by aminoacyl-tRNA synthetases). tRNAs cope with the degeneracy of the genetic code in two manners: having more than one tRNA (with a specific anti-codon) for a particular amino acid; and 'wobble' base-pairing, i.e. permitting non-standard base-pairing at the 3rd anti-codon position.
Source: Rfam by way of RNAcentral
GCCCUGGUGGCACAAUGGUUUACUGCUUGGCUGCUGGCCAAAAGGUUGGUGGUUCAAAUCCAUCCAGAGGUU